This 795-nucleotide long non-coding RNA is filed under the name Androctonus crassicauda. Lineage: Eukaryota; Metazoa; Arthropoda; Arachnida; Scorpiones; Buthidae. The record is from RNAcentral.
GUGGUUAAUUGAUCUAAUAAAAUAUAAAGAAGAUAAAUUGUUCCAAAUAAAUAUAUUUAUUUAAUUAAUAAUUAUUGUUACAGUUCAACAUGCAAAUGAGCUACAAUAUAAGACUUUGGCUGUUGAGUGGAGCUACAGUUUGUUAUGUUUUCUCGUCAUCCAUCGUGGUUAUCUUUAUCAUCUUUGGUGUUGUUGACGUCUUCGUUAUUGACUGAUGUGUUGAGUUUAACUUUGUCUUCAUGUGAAGUCAUUUUGGUGUCGACCUGUUUUUUUUGAAGUCUUUAUGGACAAUUGUAGAAAUGUUGAAUUGAAGAGAGAUUUUUGCUUAUUUUGUAUUGACAAGUUGUUUGUUAGAAAUUUUGGUUAGUUAACACCUUGUUAGUUCAAUUUAUUCUGUUUUUUAAUAAAAGUUAAUUGGUUUAUUUAUGGAGCAUUGUUGUUGGGGCCUAUGUUAUCUAACAAGAUGGUUGGAAGAUAACAAAGUUGAUGUCUCUAUUAAAAUAAGUGUUAAAAAGAAGGAAAGGGCGGAAAUGGCAAGGGGGUUGAAUCUAAGCAGAAGCUUGGAUGCUAUGCCAUACUUCUCAACUUUAAACACCAUUCUAUUCUAUCUAUUAAAUAUCAACAUCAAUGACAAUAUAGAAGCAUGCCAGAAGAAAAAUAAAGGAUUAUUUGUUAAAAAAAGCUAAUAUUGCUAUUCAAUAGAAUAUGAAUUUAUUGCACAAAAAAAUAAUUUCUUUUAAAUAUAAUGAAAAAAUACAUAUAUAGAAACAAAAACAAAUAUAUUUUGUUUAAAGC